Long non-coding RNA from Amphiprion ocellaris (clown anemonefish), 457 nucleotides. Lineage: Eukaryota; Metazoa; Chordata; Actinopteri; Pomacentridae. The record is from Ensembl.
GGGUGAUACUGGUCCAGCGAUUUCGUGUUUUAUUCCUCCUCCGCGACUGUUGUGUCCUCCUGAGCCGAGCACCGACGGCGGCGGAGUUCGGACGCUGCAGCAUCUCCUGCGCCGGAGCGGUCGCUUGGCUUCAUCCCCCUCAGUGACCGAAAGCACCUUUACGCAGAAGCUCACCAAUGUUGUUGUGAUCCUCCAAACCCAGACGAAGACAAAAACCAGGUCGAGCAGGAGUCCGGCCAACUCGAACCCAACAGAGGCUGUUCAUCAGAAACGGGCACGAAGCAGAAAGCAUGAGUGAGUCACUUUUUUCAUUUUGGUUUCAAACAAAAUGUCUUUUCAUUGGUUUUAUUCCAAUCCUGCAGCAGAUAUAAUCUUCAUGUGAUGAUAUAUGUAUAUUUCUCUGUUUUGAGAGUGAUGCUGGAUCCAGGCUAUGACCAGAGCUAAAUAUAUGUAAAGG